This 334-nucleotide long non-coding RNA is filed under the name Panax ginseng (ginseng). RNAcentral describes it as "long non-coding RNA (PGIN_LNC019258)". Lineage: Eukaryota; Viridiplantae; Streptophyta; Magnoliopsida; Apiales; Araliaceae. The record is from RNAcentral.
AUAUUCGUUUGGUCGUGGAAUAUUCGUACUGUCGGAGAAUAUUCGUACGACGGCGCAGCCAUGUGUGGGCCCCAUAACGGAAAGCGAUUGGAGGAAGAAAAUGACAAAUAUAAGUUGUUUAAAAAUAACGGCGUAGUUGUUACCGUGUACAUUGUUGGAAUACCCGGUGGUUAAAACACAGUAAUACGCGUUGUUGCACAGUAGCACACGGUAUUGCACCAAUUAUUGACUGUUACGUAAAAAGGCACUACUCAAUAAUGAUUACAGUAAUUACUGUUCAGUAUUUUAUUGAUUUAAUAAUUGUUGCGUUGAUAUUUUAUAUUGCUGUUGUUUC